RNAcentral lists this long non-coding RNA (327 nucleotides) under Gossypium raimondii (Peruvian cotton). Its description in RNAcentral is "long non-coding RNA (GRAI_LNC008993)". Lineage: Eukaryota; Viridiplantae; Streptophyta; Magnoliopsida; Malvales; Malvaceae. The record is from RNAcentral.
GAUGAGCACAACAUUUAUUCAUGUAUCGGGCUUGCCAACAUGUUUUAAUUCAUAAACUAUUCAUGGUCUUACUUCAUGCCAAAUCAUGUACCGAAUAAUUUAGCUUUCUUAACACAUUUAUUUGCUUUUAGUAUUGCUCACAUAAGAUUUAUAGAGCAUAGAGCCUUGUAUAUAACACCGGCAUAAAGCCUGCUAGGCACCAAGCUCGAUACAUUUCACCGGCACAAAGCCUGCUAGACAUAAAGUCUGAUAUAAUUCACCGGCAUAAAGCCUGCUAGGCAUAAAGCCUGACAUAAUUCACCGGCAUAAAGCCUGCUAGGCAUAAAG